CAGAGCCUUGGCUCAAAGGCAAACAAAAGGAAAUGCCCGGCUCCCCAUGGCUGUGGCCAGCACCUUCAUGCCGGGGCUCAACCCUCAGAACCCUCAUUAUAUCCCUGGCAUGGGCCAGACCUAUGGGCAGGUGACUGGUCAGCUACUUCGAGGCCCUCCUGGCCUAGGCUGGCCCCCUGUCCACCGCACACUUCUGCCUCCCAUUCGGCCUCCAAGAUCUCCUGAGGUUCCCAGGGAGAGCCUACCUCUCAGGCGUGGGCAUGAAAGGCUCAGCUCCAGCAUGAUCCCUGGGUACACAGGUUUUGUACCCCGGGCACAGUUCAUCUUUGCCAAGAACUGCAGCCAGAUCUGGGCCGAGGCUCUGAGUGACUUUACUCACUGUGAAGAGCUGCCAAAGGAGGCCAAGGGAAGGAAGGACACAGAGAAGGAACAGGUGCCAGAGCCGGAGGGGCAGCUGGAGGAGCCAACACUGGAGGUGGUGGAACAAGCAUCUCCCUACUCCAUGGAUGACAGGGACCCUCGGAAGUUCUUCAUGUCAGCUUUCCUGUGCUCACCAACCAGGCACUGCAGGAAUUUGGGCAGAAGCACUCACCAGGCAGUGCCCAGGACCCCAAACAUCUCCCCCCGCUUCCCAGAACAUACCCUCAGAACCUGGGUCUUUUACCUAACUAUGGGGGCUACGUGCCAGGGUAUAAGUUCCAGUUUGGCCACACAUUUGGCCAUCUCACCCAUGAUGCUCUGGGCCUCAGCACCUUCCAGAAGCAGCUCUUGGCUUAGGCCCCUGGACAUCAAGUUCCCUUCCCUUUUCAUCCUAUCCCAGCCAUCCUUUUGGAAGGGAGAAAGGUGGGUGGGGGAGCACAAAGAGGAAAUGGUCUGGAGGCUGAGCACCUUUUUUAUUAAUAGGUAUAAUAAAUAAAUAAAUAAAUACAUAAACAGA
Molecule: small RNA, 937 nt
Filed under: Pongo abelii (Sumatran orangutan)
Lineage: Eukaryota; Metazoa; Chordata; Mammalia; Primates; Hominidae
Description: processed transcript
Source: RNAcentral